Brassica oleracea var. oleracea is the source of this 1271-nucleotide long non-coding RNA. RefSeq lists it as uncharacterized. The transcript has 7 exons. The record is from RefSeq and is a predicted model, not a curated record. Lineage: Eukaryota; Viridiplantae; Streptophyta; Magnoliopsida; Brassicales; Brassicaceae.
AUUUUAGGGUUAUCUCACUUUUGUUCUCCACCAUUAAAGAGGUUAAAUCGACUCCUCAAUCCGUCAAAACAACUUAGUAAUCUUAUUUUAUGAGAAAUAGCCAACACAUCAAUCUUCCUUUCUGAUUUGAAGAUACGACGCUUCUCCUCCACCGUUCAAGUGCGGUUGCUCCGGUUAUGGGAAGCUAGGAACGUCCGGUGGCUACGAACUCAUAGGAGUAUAUAUGCUCUUACUGGAUUCACAUGUUGUUUAUGUAUAAAGCUUGCGUUCAUAAUUAAAAAAAAAAAAUCAGGUGUGUUAAAUCCUCAUUAUCAAGCUUUCCUAUUCAGAAUUUUGUUUGACAUCUUUUGAAUGAGAAAUUUUGAAACCAUUCGUUGAUUCUAAUGUCAUAAGAGGAUCUUGCGUUAUGUGCUUUUGUGGUUUCUACAAAGGAAUCCAGGUUUGCGAUUAGACCUACAUAAUGCCUAGAAGGUUGAUGUAAUAUUUUCAAUUUCCUUUCUGCAGGGUAAGCCUCGCCGCGCCUCGGUUAGCACAAAGAAGCUCCCACCUGAGUAAAUCUUUAUCGCAGUCUGGACGCACACUUCUACAUGUCAUGAAUUUAGUGACGCACAGACCUUAAGUAACGUGAAGAUGAUUUGCUAACAUGAAGACUGCAUACGACAAGAAAAAUUCAAGAAAGCAGUGCAGUGUGAGAAGUCAGGCAACAACAUUGAUCUAUAAGAACUUUGAGGCAGAUCAAGUCGUGGAUUGUAAGUGGAAGCACAAGGAUUUUGGUAAUUUUGUUAAAUUGAAUUGCGGAAGCAAGGGUUUCAGCUAUCAAGACACUCAAUUGGAUAGGACUUAGCUGGCAUCAUCUUUGAAUGGUCUUUAUACGGACGGCAUGGAAAAGCUUUCUUGGUCAAUCAAACGCAUAUGGUACAAGAUCGAUGCUCCACUGAAUGAGCAGAAAGCAAGGCUUCUAAUGAUGGUUCUACUUCUCCACCACAAUGGAGCUGCGAAAAUAGGGUCAAACUUCCAAUGAAUUAAGGUUGUUCUCAACUCUGAUUGUGCUAUGUACAAUACAAGUGAUCUCAAGCUGUCUAAUUAUUUCUCUAACGAUCUGUUUCUUUGUUGAGGGAAGUAGUCGAAGAAGAUUUCACACCCUUCGCUGGGAAAAAAAAACCUCCUUGAAGACCAAAGAAGAGACCAAGAACUGUUCAGAAGCAAAUGAAUAGGAAGUAACACAGGCUCUUAUGACGCCCCUGAGGCUGCGGAAACAUGAUUAAAGGUGU